GCCUCGGUAGCUCAGCGGUUAGAGCACACGGCUGUUAACCGUGGGGUCGUCGGUUCAAAUCCGACCCGGGGCG
Molecule: transfer RNA, 73 nt
Filed under: Candidatus Pacearchaeota archaeon ex4484_26
Lineage: Archaea; Nanobdellati
Description: tRNA-Asn
Rfam family: tRNA
About the family: Transfer RNA (tRNA) molecules are approximately 80 nucleotides in length. Their secondary structure includes four short double-helical elements and three loops (D, anti-codon, and T loops). Further hydrogen bonds mediate the characteristic L-shaped molecular structure. tRNAs have two regions of fundamental functional importance: the anti-codon, which is responsible for specific mRNA codon recognition, and the 3' end, to which the tRNAs corresponding amino acid is attached (by aminoacyl-tRNA synthetases). tRNAs cope with the degeneracy of the genetic code in two manners: having more than one tRNA (with a specific anti-codon) for a particular amino acid; and 'wobble' base-pairing, i.e. permitting non-standard base-pairing at the 3rd anti-codon position.
Source: RNAcentral